Molecule: long non-coding RNA, 548 nt
Filed under: Mytilus galloprovincialis (Mediterranean mussel)
Lineage: Eukaryota; Metazoa; Mollusca; Bivalvia; Mytilida; Mytilidae
Source: RNAcentral
AACUUCCUAUUUCUAGGUAAUUAUAUAAUUUCUCAUCAUUAUAUAGUUGAAACUAUGGAUUUUUCGAGAGACUUUCAUUAUUUUCAUCCAGCUUCCAAAUUCACCCUUUAAUUUCACAUGAAGAUAGUUAGAUAUUGAAUUAUUUCAAGAAUAAAAAGACUGAUACCAAGUAUACUCAUUACAUUUAAAACCUAUAGUAUGAAAAUAAUGGAUUCCAAAACAUUGAUAUUACAAUACCAUACCUAAUGUAUCAUGAUUCAUUAUAAGGGUCUUUUUUCAGCUCCUUUUGAAAAAAAGGAGUUAAUUCUUGUACAUUUUUAGCUCACACUACCUUUCGUGAGCUUUUCUCAUCACUUGGCGUCUGUCGUCCUCGUCUGUUAACUUUUACAAAAAUCUUCUCCUCUGAAACUACUAGGCCAAAUUUAACCAAACUUGACCACAAUCAUCAUUGGGGUAUCUAGUUUAAAAAAUGUGUCCGAUGACGCAGCCUGCCAAACAAAAUGGCCGACAUGGCUAAAAAUAGAACAUAGAGGUAAAAUGCAGUUUUU